UUUAAAUAAUUAAAAAGAGUUUUGAUGAAAAUUAAGCAAAAUAUAAGAAAAAUAUGAGCAAAACAUAAGUUAAAUAUGAUAAAAUUAUUUGUAAAGUGUUAUGUAUGUCCAUGUUAUUGAGAUAAUUCAAAUUAUCAUUGAAAGCAUUGAUGAACAGAUAAUCUUGUUUGUUUCCUAUUAUUUAAUAUUAUUAUUUUUAAAAUGUAAUAUUAUUAAGUUCAAGAAUGUUGUAUGACUUGUAUCUUUAAUCUUCGGACGUAACUUCAUUACCAGAUUUUGUUCUUGAUGCUCUUAAUGGUCUACUUUCAACUUCUUGAGAAGUGCAAUAUUCAGCCAAUUUUGCAAUCUUCUUGAUUCUCUUAAUGGUUUCUUUGUCCGUUGCUAUGGUGCCAUCAACCAAGUUCAAGAAUGUUGAAAUUUUAAUCUUCGGACGUAACCACAUGACCAGAUUUUGUUCAUCAACACUCAAAGUCUCAUAAUUCGCUUUUCUUCCUGUGAUCAACUCCAUUAGAAUCACCUCGAAUGCAUAUACAUCCGCUUUUUUUGUGACCCUCUUAGAACCUACAAAUAUACUUCGAAAAUAUUAUUUUUUAUAUUUUUCCUUAUUUUGAAAAUAGUUAAAUUAACACAAAUACUGAUACAUAUAAUGAGCUGAAGAUUAAGUCUGAUUAUGAUAAUCUAAUUUACCAACAUAAUCUGGAUCAAUACAGUUGAAGGUUCCCACCACUCUUAAUGUCUCAAAUGAGUCUACUCCCUCGAGUACGAGCUUCAUACAGCCAAAAUCAGAAAUCUUCGCUCUUAUGUCAUCUCCUAUAGCCUAUAAGUAUGGAAGGCUUCAAGUCUCUAUGGAUAUAGUUUUCUCGCAAGACCUUGGAGAUAUUUUGAUUUCUUCAUUUUGAGUCUUGCAUUAUCAAUAGAUAUGUUUUGAGAUAAAUCAAAAAUUUUGAAAAGUUUGAAAAUCCAAAAAGAAUCUGGUAGCUUUGCAUAUUUAUUUUUGUUAUUAGAAUUGAGUCUAAUAGCAUCUAGUUUGCGUUUGCAAAUGCAUAUGGGUUAAUGAUUUCAUUUGCCUUGUAGAAGUUCAAGUUUAGGAUUAGGAUCUUUGCCCUAGGUCGUAAUUGAUUGCAUUUAGCGGUUUGGAAAAAACGGAAAAUCCAUGAUUGAAUCAUUUCUCUUUCAAAAGUCACUACCUUUAUGAAACUUGUAUGUUUCCGAAGCAUCUAUAUGAAUUUGAGUUUAGACCAUCUCCAUCAAUUGUUUCUCAUUUAGAAACCACCUAAUAUAAAAAUAAAAUGUAAUCAAAAAGUAAGAAAAAGAGUGAAGAGAGUCUCUUAACUGAGAAACUAUGAGAAACCCACAAAGACACUUGUUUAUCAUGCAUUGAUCAAAUUUUAUUUUA
Molecule: small RNA, 1396 nt
Filed under: Arabidopsis thaliana (thale cress)
Lineage: Eukaryota; Viridiplantae; Streptophyta; Magnoliopsida; Brassicales; Brassicaceae
Description: ATSL102660
Source: RNAcentral